This is a long non-coding RNA of Homo sapiens (human), 2350 nucleotides long. NCBI's taxonomy places the organism in Eukaryota, Metazoa, Chordata, Mammalia, Primates, Hominidae. The record is from Ensembl.
GUGUCUUGAUCUGUUGCUCAGGCUGAAUGCAGUGGUGCGAUCACAACUCACUGCAGCCUCAAACUCCUGGGCUAAAGCCAUCCUCCUGCUUUAGCCUCCCCAGCAGCUGGGACUAUAGGCAUGUGCAACCACGCCCAGCUAAUCUUUAAUUUUUUGUAGAGACAGGGUUUCACUGUGUUGCCUAGGCUGGUCUCAAACUCCUGGGCUCAAGCGAUCCUCUUGCCUCAGCCUCCCAAAGUGCUAGGAUUACAGGUAUAAGCUACUGUGCCAGGGUGAGGCAUAAAGUUUUUUGUUGUUGUUGUUGUUUUGUUUUUGUUUUUUGAGACCAAGUUUCACUCUUGUUGCCCAGGCUGGAGUGCAAUGGUAUGAUCUUGGCUCACCGCAACCUCUGCGUCCUGGGUUCAAGUGAUUCUCCUGCCUCAGCCUCCUGAGUAGCUGGGAUUACAGGCAUGCGCCACCAUGCCCAGCUAAUCUUUUUGUAUCUUUAGUAGAGAUGGGGUUUCUCCAUGUUGGUCAGGCUGGCCUCGAACUCCCAACCUCAGGUGAUCCGCCCGCCUCGGCCUCCCAAAGUGCUGGGAUUACAGGCGUGAGCCACCACACCUGGCCCGGCAUAAAGUUUUAAUUUAAGCAAAAAGCAAGUAAUAAAAGUACUGUCAGCCACGGCCUAUUGAGGGACCACAUGCUGUGUUCUAAACACUUUCCAGGAAUUAUCUCAUUUAGGUCUCCGGACAAUCUUGAUGGAAAUUCUCCCCACUUUACAGAUGAGAAAACUGAGGCUGAGGGAGGGGGUUGCCCAAGGUCACAGAGGUAGCAAGUGUUAGACAUGUGGUUUGUAUCUAGGUCUAUCUGGUUCCAAAGUCCAUGCUGCUAACCAUUUCACCACAUCAGAAUGUCAAGGACAGCUCAUCUGAAAGGAAAAAGCCUCAACAAGGCAAGAGGUCAUGCCCCAAAGGUCUCCAGCUGACCCACGUGGAAGUAUGAAGUCAGCAGCUGCUGCGUCCCAGCCUCCUGAUCCCCUCGACCUGAGAGGCUGGGAGCACCCAGGGAGGAAGGAAUGUCCCAGCUGAGCACUUCUCCAGCUUGUCUGCCUUCACUGGCUACUGCAAUCCUCAGGCAGGCUGACCCGGCCCUCCCUCCCCAUCUCCUGGCAUCACAGCAAGGCCAGGGCAUGACAGUGUCCCUGGCUCAGGGGCAAGGCACCCAAACACUGAGAUGCCAAGAUCCAGCUACCCACACUGAGGUAAGGGAGGAGAAGGAUGAGGGAGGGGCGGCAGGGCAGGGAAGAUGGAGGGUUCACAGGGCACCUUGAAAUCCGACAGCGAAGCCAUCAGCUCGUCCAGCUCCCUGGUGGCAGAGGAGGCCGAGAUGCGUGUCUGCUGUUGGGUGGAGGUGACGCGCUGCGGGCUGCUCAUCUCGCCCUGGUUCACAGUGAUGGCAGGGCUGCAGGGUGGGCACAGCAUCAGUGGGGAGCCCACAGUCAGCCCCACACUUCCCGGGGAUCAGAUCGACCUCUCACCUCGGACACUGGGGUCUCACCAUCCCCAACCCCAGGGAGGUCCACCAGCUCCCUGUCUCUCCUGGGGACCCAUCACUGGGUCAGAAGAAAGGGCAGUUCAAUGGCACCAGGAAGUGCCAGGAAGACUCCUCUAGCCCCCAGCCCAAGUGAAAGCUGGCCUGCGAAACAAGCCCAAGCGCCCUGUGUUUCCUCCACAACACUGGACAUGGAGGUGAGGCUACUGCAGUAACACGACGGCACUGGUAAGAGCUCGCGUGUUGGGCACUCACCAUGUGUGCCACGCACUACACACCAGAAACCAUUCCAAGCGCUUUACAUGGAUUACUGGUUCUCACCCUUACUGAGGUAGGUGGUCUUAUCCCAGUGAUCCCAUAAGUUCUUGUCCCAUUUUACAGAUGGGAAAACUAAGGCUUGAGAGCUGACAGUAACUGUCAGAGCCAAGAUGUGAACCCCACUGUGUGGCCCCAAAGCCUGUGCUAAGAGCUGCUAAGCUCCAGGCGCCCUCAGCCUGCACAACGUCUGUCCUUUCUGACUGGCAGUGACUGGCUGAAGGCAGGGAUGGUGUCCAUGUGACUCACCACUAUCCCCCCAGUGCCUGGCAAAUGGCAGACACGGGAGGGAGUGGGUGAUACCAGGGCUAAGGGGACAGACACUGGACCCGGGGCAGGCUGGGCCAGCCCUUCCCCACCUGGGGAGGGCCCAGUGGGUACUCACACGGGGCUGGGCACGGAGCUCUCCAGUUCAUCCAAGAGACUCUCCACACUGGGCCGCACGUCCUCCAGGCCCCGGCCCCCAUUCCGCUUAGGCUUCUCUUUCGUCAGGGGCCCAGCUUUG